UGGGGAAUAUUGGGCAAUGGGCGCAAGCCUGACCCAGCAACGCCGCGUGAAGGAAGAAGGCUUUCGGGUUGUAAACUUCUUUUAUCAGGGACGAAGCAAGUGACGGUACCUGAUGAAUAAGCCACGGCUAACUACGUGCCAGCAGCCGCGGUAAUACGUAGGUGGCGAGCGUUAUCCGGAUUUACUGGGUGUAAAGGGCGUGUAGGCGGGCUUGCAAGUCAGAUGUGAAAUUUCCAGGGCUCAACCCUGGAACUGCAUUUGAAACUGUAGUUCUUGAGUGCUGGAGAGGCAAUCGGAAUUCCGUGUGUAGCGGUGAAAUGCGUAGAUAUACGGAGGAACACCAGUGGCGAAGGCGGAUUGCUGGACAGUAACUGACGCUGAGGCGCGAAAGCGUGGGGAGCAAACAGGAUUAGAUACCC
This 419-nucleotide ribosomal RNA is filed under the name uncultured bacterium. RNAcentral describes it as "bacterial SSU rRNA". It matches the Rfam family "Bacterial small subunit ribosomal RNA", at positions 355 to 787 of the family's 1533-position model. The record is from RNAcentral.